CUGCCUAAGCUAUAGAGUAUUUUUAAAAUUUAUUUCCAAUUAUUCUGUGGCUAUUAACAUCCAUGAUUGCUUUUAAAGUUCAAAAACACUGAACUGUCUAGAAACAUUAUGAAUAGUAAUAGUAAUACCGCUAAUUUUAUUUUCAAAUUUUGGUCAAUAAAGAGGAAAAUAAUAGAGUUAAGUAGUCAAAAGAAGUACUAAGAAAAGUACAAUCAUUCAUAUAUACAGAUAAUAUGAACAGUAUAGAUUCAAUCCUAUUUACACAUUUAAAAUAUAAAACACAUCCUAAUUUAUCAAGAUGCUGACCACAUUUAGCACCAGGAAAGAAACUUUAUGUUAGCUUUUGAACAUGACUUCCUAUCUUGUCAUAGGAAAAAAAAACUUU
This is a long non-coding RNA of Pipistrellus kuhlii (Kuhl's pipistrelle), 385 nucleotides long. RefSeq lists it as uncharacterized. The transcript is spliced from 2 exons. NCBI's taxonomy places the organism in Eukaryota, Metazoa, Chordata, Mammalia, Chiroptera, Vespertilionidae. The record is from RefSeq and is a predicted model, not a curated record.